This is a non-coding RNA of Rattus norvegicus (Norway rat), 1328 nucleotides long. The record is from RefSeq and is a predicted model, not a curated record. NCBI's taxonomy places the organism in Eukaryota, Metazoa, Chordata, Mammalia, Rodentia, Muridae.
GAGAAUGCUUUAAUAUAACCCCUUGCCUUAGGCACACACAUGUCCGCACUUUAUUUCUGAGACCAGACUCCAACUCAUCUUUCAGAAUCCAAUUUCACGCAGCACCUGCUCCACAGUGCCUUUCCCCGCCCACCUGAGGCCAGAGAGAAGAUUCAUUGCUCAGAGGGCUACUGGCGCUGAUGGUGGGCGGCUCCCUCGUUAGCCAGAACAUAGAGAUAAGAGGGUGUGGCCAGAGCGAGGGAUGCUCUGUAUCUCUCCACUUAGGCUUCCUUGGGGAAAACGAAGUUUCCAGGUCAGUGCAUCUUGCUUUCGAUGCCAGAGUUGACAUUAGGUCCAUUCCAUAGUCUUAACUGACCUCACUUCUCAGAAAAUGUCCUUUUUUUUUUUCAUGGACACAGAAGACAAGCACCUGUAAUUCAACCCUGUGAGGGAAAUGUGUUGACCCAGGUUCCGGAGUUCCUCUCCCAGACUGUGGAGGGCGAUUUGGAAGUGUCUGCAUGAAGUAGCUGCUAGACGCAGAGGCAUCAUAGUCUCAUGGUAACAGCCUGUGGUACGACUGGAGUCAAAACAAGAGAUUUGCUGUCCAGAAAGAUAAUCCGGUGGCGGUGUGGAUAGAUGGAUGAAUAGCACAGGACAGCUUGGAAGCUGCCUCAGAAGUCCAAGACGUAAACGAUGCUUUGCCAAUUAGGACAGCUCAGUGGUGUGGCAAAGGGGUAUCCUGAGCAAGUAUUUACAGCGCUCGCGAUUUGUGCUACUUCAUCUGUGUCUGCAUGUCUGUCUCUUUGUACCUGUGUGUCUCUGUCCUUGGGACUGCACAGUUAAAAGAAUGUGAUGUGACCCAUGCACAUAUUUCCUUGUUCCCCUCGAGUCCCCUCCCUCCUCAGGACGCUUCUGGAGUACGUGCUCUGACCUCGGCUGUGGUGCUGACAGAGCUGGACAGCAAGAAAUGAGGACGGAGGAAAACUCAGAGCAAAGGGGAACUUAAGCAAGACUUUGCAAGGACUGGAGAGAUAAGGUAUCCACGGCAGAUCAGGGAAAUUAUCCCACCCAAGCCUACUUUGGUGAUCCAGUAAAUGUAUUGGUGUUACUUACUGGCGUCGGAGGCACAAAGUCAUCACUAAAAAGCCCACCCCAGCAUGGACGGCAAGUUGAUCUGUGUGCCUGCACAGCUAGCAAUCAGAGGAGUCGCCACACCCCAGCUUUUACAAGCUUGAGAAGGAGCCUUGUGAAUCUUGUAACUUUCAUGAGCUUCUAUGAAAGCCUUCUAUGUUUUAUUAGCUUCCUGAGUAUUAGUUUAAAAAAAUAAAAAGUCUUAGUAAACCUCUCUC